RNAcentral lists this ribosomal RNA (481 nucleotides) under uncultured bacterium. RNAcentral's name for it is "partial 16S ribosomal RNA". It matches the Rfam family "Bacterial small subunit ribosomal RNA", at positions 28 to 507 of the family's 1533-position model. The record is from RNAcentral.
GAUGAACGCUGGCGGCGUGCUUAACACAUGCAAGUCGAACGAAGCACUUUAUUUGAUUUCCUUCGGGACUGAUUAUUUUGUGACUGAGUGGCGGACGGGUGAGUAACGCGUGGGUAACCUGCCUUGUACAGGGGGAUAACAGUUGGAAACGGCUGCUAAUACCGCAUAAGCGCACGGCAUCGCAUGGUGCAGUGUGAAAAACUCCGGUGGUAUAAGAUGGACCCGCGUUGGAUUAGCUAGUUGGUGAGGUAACGGCCCACCAAGGCGACGAUCCAUAGCCGACCUGAGAGGGUGACCGGCCACAUUGGGACUGAGACACGGCCCAAACUCCUACGGGAGGCAGCAGUGGGGAAUAUUGCACAAUGGGCGAAAGCCUGAUGCAGCGACGCCGCGUGAGCGAAGAAGUAUUUCGGUAUGUAAAGCUCUAUCAGCAGGGAAGAUAAUGACGGUACCUGACGAAGAAGCACCGGCUAAAUACGUG